GGAAGCUUCCGAGGACCAAUCACGCACAGCCUUUGCAACAGAUUACUACAGGCUAAUUCCCUACAGAGAACAGUCAGUCAGUUACCUUUUGCUUCCACAGGGCAUUGCCAGCUACCAACCAAGGAAAGAUGAGCUACUCCACUGGAUUGUUAAAGAGCCCCACCAUGGACCAUAAUUACUAAGGGGAUGCAUAAACUCAGUUCUGCUUUCUGCUUCUGUAUCCAUGAAGCCCACCGAGUAAGUGGAGUUUGCCAUUAGCAGGGUCUCUAAGUACCCUUUUGGAUUGACUUCUUCCUCUUUGUGACUUGCCAGGAAGUGGGUCUGAUAGUAGUUACCAGACAAAAACAUGCAGAAAAACUUCAUUAAUAUAAAAAUGCAAGCUGAAGAGAAUAAGACAUAAACAGACAGGAACAUUUUACAAGGCCCAGGAAAUCAAAGUCGUGCAGGAUUCAGCUUACAGUCAUCUCCUGAUUAUCCAUCAAAAUGGAAGUAAGGCUAACUGGGAUAACAGGUAAUCUUGAUCAAGUACUCACUGUAUUCGAGACACUGUGCUAAGCCUUUUUUACGUGUGCUGUCUCACUGAAUCUUCACAACUACCCUAUGAGAUGAUAAAGGCUGCACCAGGAGGCUAGAUAACUUGCCCAAUUGCACAACUUGUGGUGGAAGAGGCAGAGUUCAAUUCCAAGUCUCCUGGAUUUCAAAUUCAACACUGUCUGCUGCUGCAGGGUGUUCAGCUCAUUACCCACAUUGAUGUUCUCACUGAAUGCUCCCCCUUAAGUCCCUGAAUCUCAAGAAGGCAACUCACAACCAACAGCAUCAACUAAUCUUGGGCUUCUCUUCCCAAAGAAAGAUCAUUGGCAGUAAGGCCCAAACAAAGGCAAAUGUGACGGGAUCCAUGGACAAUGUAGGGACUUGUCUCUGCAGGCAAAUGAUACAUACUCUGUGCAUCUUAAAAUUACCUUUGUGUCUCUUAUAGAGCUAGGCGUAGCAUUUAGUAAGCAUUCAAUAAAUGUCUGCUGAAGAAAUGCAUAAAUGAGAGCAAAUGAGGAGUCUAAGGACCUGGAAAGUAAGGCUAGUUACGGUACUAGCUGUGGAUAACCAAGAGUUGACUGCAGUUAACAUAUUUACCAAUAAGAAAAAUGAUACAAAUUCUUUCCUUCACAAAUUCACAGACCUAUGUAAACAUCAAUUAAAAAAAUUACACACACACACACACACACACAAGCACAUUUCUUGAGAAGGCAAGCCAGAUUCAACACUUAAAAUGUACAUAAGCAUAUUAAUACAAGGUAUCAUGCAAACCAUGAAAAACACAGUGUGCAAUUCAUCCCUGAAGGAACUACCUUUAAGGAAGAAUAAAGAAUCGGCAGAAAAUGCUCUGCAAGAAACCAAGACAAGGGCUAAAAGGAGAAAAAAGCAGACAGAGACCAUCACCUGGAGAACUUUAGGGAGUUAAGCUGUAGUUAAAUAGAAGCUGCUCUUUACUGAAAACUUACCUUAGGAACAUAAUGUUAUUAGAACCUGCACCAUUCUUAUAUGGACACAUUUUACCAUCAUUCUGACUAGGUUAAGAUGUACCACCUUCCAUUACCUAUUAAUUCAACUCAAAUUAUUUUCACCUGUAUUACCUUACUUGGUCCUCACGACUCUGUGAGGCUGGCAGGACUUGCAACAAGACAAAGAGUAAUAUUAACAUUAAAGUUAAUUAAAGUUAAUAUUUGCUGGUGGCAGGAGAAGGGGACUAUUAUAGUUUAAAUAGCACCAGAAGUUUUACUUCAUUGUCACUACAUUUCUUUUAUAGACUAAUUGACCUACUACCUGAAGAAUUACUUUAUGAAACUGGAAAGCAUUAUACAACUGGAGAAAAUAUUAUCACCAAAUAGUCUGCAGAAGAUAAUGGAAAGUGUUUUUCAAAAGUAGGCUCUUAGAAUAAGAUCCAGAAUUUUUUUUGUAACAUAGUAUAGUCUUUUGGAAUAAUGAAAGAAGAACAGGCAAAUACAUAUGCAAUACUCAACUCUCCAACAACUAAACAAAAGUGAAAUUAAAGCAAUGAGAUUCUACUUUUUUCCUAUCCUAUUUACACGUUCAAAAUAAUAAUAUCAAGUGGGGAAUUGGGCUCUUUCACUCACUGCUGUAGAAGUAUAAAGCUGUUAUAAGCUUUUAAUGUUUACUAAAAUUUAAGAUGCAAAUUA
Molecule: long non-coding RNA, 2192 nt
Organism: Leopardus geoffroyi (Geoffroy's cat)
Lineage: Eukaryota; Metazoa; Chordata; Mammalia; Carnivora; Felidae
Exons: 3
Source: RefSeq, a predicted model, not a curated record